This 341-nucleotide long non-coding RNA is filed under the name Volvox carteri. RNAcentral's name for it is "long non-coding RNA (VCAR_LNC003598)". The record is from RNAcentral. Lineage: Eukaryota; Viridiplantae; Chlorophyta; Chlorophyceae; Chlamydomonadales; Volvocaceae.
GGUCUGCAUCUCUACUUGCUCCGACACAUCGAUCUGAGUCAGCACCAGAGUCCUGCCACCGCCGCUACUGCCAUAGCCACCGCCAUCACCGCCGCCGCCAAUCUCGCUGCUACCGUCCGGCGCACGAUGUAAGCUGCAAUGCCCCGCGAUCACAUUGCCGUUAAUGCCGCAGGCGGCGGCAGCAGGGGGCCCAGCGCCUUCGCGUAAGCUGCUGCCACCACCCGCACCCUCCCAUGUGCAUGUGGCGACAUGAACUCUGUGAUACACGGGGCGAUUGUGCUUCGGCGUUGGGGGCACGCUCGUUGUCGACGUUGCAGCCGUGGCGGCACCCCUGCCCGCGU